GGGAAAGAUUCAUCGGUAUGGGAUGGGGUCGCGUCCUAUCAGCUUGAUGGCGGGGUAACGGCCCACCAUGGCUUCGACGGGUAGCCGGCCUGAGAGGGCGACCGGCCACAUUGGGACUGAGAUACGGCCCAGACUCCUACGGGAGGCAGCAGUGGGGAAUAUUGCACAAUGGGCGCAAGCCUGAUGCAGCGACGCCGCGUGCGGGAUGACGGCCUUCGGGUUGUAAACCGCUUUUGACUGGGAGCAAGCCCUUCGGGGUGAGUGUACCUUUCGAAUAAGCACCGGCUAACUACGUGCCAGCAGCCGCGGUAAUACGUAGGGUGCAAGCGUUAUCCGGAAUUAUUGGGCGUAAAGGGCUCGUAGGCGGUUCGUCGCGUCCGGUGUGAAAGUCCAUCGCUUAACGGUGGAUCCGCGCCGGGUACGGGCGGGCUUGAGUGCGGUAGGGGAGACUGGAAUUCCCGGUGUAACGGUGGAAUGUGUAGAUAUCGG
Molecule: ribosomal RNA, 489 nt
Filed under: Bifidobacterium adolescentis JCM 15918
Lineage: Bacteria; Bacillati; Actinomycetota; Actinomycetes; Bifidobacteriales; Bifidobacteriaceae
Description: bacterial SSU rRNA
Rfam family: Bacterial small subunit ribosomal RNA
Source: RNAcentral